Molecule: ribosomal RNA, 145 nt
Filed under: Vahlkampfia avara
Lineage: Eukaryota; Heterolobosea; Eutetramitea; Acrasida; Vahlkampfiidae
Also listed under: 3 other names
Description: 5.8S ribosomal RNA
Rfam family: 5.8S ribosomal RNA
About the family: 5.8S ribosomal RNA (5.8S rRNA) is a component of the large subunit of the eukaryotic ribosome. It is transcribed by RNA polymerase I as part of the 45S precursor that also contains 18S and 28S rRNA.
Source: RNAcentral
ACUUUGCGAUGGAUCACUUGGCUAUUGUGACGAUGAAGAACGUAGCAAGUUGCGAAAAGUAAUGUGACAUGCAAAACUCGUGAAUCAUCGAAUUUUCGAACAUAUCCAAUGCUUCUCUCUUCUACGGAAUUGCGAAGCGCUUACU